CAGCAGCCACGGUAAUACGAAGGGGGCUAGCGUUGUUCGGAAUCACUGGGCGUAAAGCGCACGUAGGCGGAUACUUAAGUUAGGGGUGAAAUCCCAGGGCUCAACCCUGGAACUGCCUUUAAUACUGGGUAUCUUGAGUUCGAGAGAGGUAAGUGGAAUUCCGAGUGUAGAGGUGAAAUUCGUAGAUAUUCGGAGGAACACCAGUGGCGAAGGCGGCUUACUGGCUCGAUACUGGCGCUGAGGUGCGAAAGCGUGGGGAGCAAACAGGAUUAGAUACCCGAGUAGUCCCUGUCUCUUAUAC
Molecule: ribosomal RNA, 301 nt
Filed under: uncultured bacterium
Lineage: Bacteria
Description: partial 16S ribosomal RNA
Rfam family: Bacterial small subunit ribosomal RNA
Source: RNAcentral